RNAcentral lists this ribosomal RNA (390 nucleotides) under Triticum aestivum (bread wheat). RNAcentral describes it as "partial small subunit ribosomal RNA". The record is from RNAcentral. Lineage: Eukaryota; Viridiplantae; Streptophyta; Magnoliopsida; Poales; Poaceae.
AUGGAGGAAGAAAAUAUACAAGAAAAGGAAAGUGAUGGUCUUGAAGAUUUUUGGAAUGAGUACUCAGUGGCACUUGAAAGAUCUAAGCUCGACACACUUGAAGAGGCAGCCAAUGAGAAAGAGGUGAACAACGUCUGCAAUCAUGAAAUACAGAUUCAUGAAGAUCUGGGCCAUGUAUGCCGUGUCCGCGGUAUGAUUGUGAGAAGGCCUGACACAAUCAUUGAUUAUCAGUGGAGAAAGGUCCAGGUAUUGCUAGUUCAGCAAUCAAUGGAGGAGGAAAUCCAUACAAUGCUUGGAAAGGGCUCAUUUUCAGUGCUGUAUGAUAGCUGGUGUUGUACCAAUAUUCAGCUAGUGGUAACCAUGAUAACCACUUCUUUGGCUCUUGUGUAG